Nematostella vectensis (starlet sea anemone) is the source of this 1107-nucleotide long non-coding RNA. RefSeq lists it as uncharacterized. Lineage: Eukaryota; Metazoa; Cnidaria; Anthozoa; Actiniaria; Edwardsiidae. The transcript is spliced from 3 exons. The record is from RefSeq and is a predicted model, not a curated record.
AACAAAACUGACAGAUGAUGGAUACAAAAAUUAUUUCUUAACUGCAAUUUGCGGGUGAAUCCCCAUGUAGCUGAUUGGGCCAUUUGUGUGAACAUCUAAAAAUAGCCUCUGAUGCUAAUAUAACACAAAUGAUUGCUCCUACUUAUAAGUCCCUGGUGUGAUACAAAGAAACAUACCAUUUACAUCCUUUGAGGAAGUUGUCAGGCCGCUGCUCAAACUCCCUCCAUGCUCCUAAGUUUCUCCACAGCUUCCCAUCUCUCCAUAAUCUUCGUCCAUCGGAUAUGUAGCAGGCUCUAUCUUGUCUAGGCUGGGAGAUACAAUACUCUUUGUAGUGAAUCUCGACUCUUCGUCUAUCUCCAUGCUUCUAUACCCAAGAAGCAAGUCAUGGUGACAUCUGAAUAAUGAACAAGAUAUAUUCCUCAAGAAAAAGCAGAUACAUAGACAUAUACAGUAUUACGUUUUUCAUGUGAUUUUUUAUCAUAAACAUUCCUUUAUAAAGGAAACAUGUUUUGUUGCUAUCAAGUUGAUUUAUGUGUUAUUGAAGUGUAUAAAGCAACCAGUCAUAUUUUAUAAACUGCGUUAUAGAUUAUACUUUUGGAUAAACCAAAAUGCUUUCUCUUUUAUCCAUUCAGUUCAAGACUUUACAUUCUUACAGUAAAAGCAAGUGUAGAUACAGGGGGAUAUCCAUUGAAUGAAAACAGUAAAAGUCAUGUCUCUAUUUUGUAUAAUUAACUUAUAAAGUAUAAAACAUAUGUUUGGGUAAACCAUUUAUAAAACCAAGGAUCCAGACCGUUUUUGGACAAAUUGAAGCAAAAGCUUAUUCAAUUGUUAUUAUUUCUACAUUAUUUGUAGUCAUCAUAGAUUGCAAGAUAAAAAAACAAAAUACUAUACAGGUGCAUUCUGAUUCGAAAAGUAAAAAGAUAGACUCAAUUAUGGCUUCAACUCACUUAGAUGGAUAUCAAGCAUUUCUUUUAUAGCCCUUCAAUGGUUUAGUGUACAUAUGUGUAAGUAUACAAGCUGAGACAUUGUACAAAGGGUUAUCUGCUGUUUCUGUGAGCCAGUUGUGCACUAUAAAAAAUAUUGUAAUAAAUGUUUUCUUUCAUUGUA